RNAcentral lists this ribosomal RNA (253 nucleotides) under uncultured bacterium. RNAcentral's name for it is "partial 16S ribosomal RNA". It matches the Rfam family "Bacterial small subunit ribosomal RNA", at positions 524 to 776 of the family's 1533-position model. The record is from RNAcentral.
UACGUAGGGUGCGAGCGUUGUCCGGAAUUAUUGGGCGUAAAGGGCUCGUAGGCGGUCUGUCACGUCGGGCGUGAAAACUCGGGGCUUAACCCCGAGCCUGCUUCCGAUACGGGCAGACUAGAGGUAUGCAGGGGAGAACGGAAUUCCUGGUGUAGCGGUGAAAUGCGCAGAUAUCAGGAGGAACACCGGUGGCGAAGGCAGGUCUCUGGGCUGACACUGACGCUCAUGCACGAAAGCGUGGGGAGCAAACAGG